This 459-nucleotide ribosomal RNA is filed under the name uncultured bacterium. RNAcentral describes it as "partial 16S ribosomal RNA". It matches the Rfam family "Bacterial small subunit ribosomal RNA", at positions 338 to 795 of the family's 1533-position model. The record is from RNAcentral.
CCUACGGGUGGCAGCAGUGAGGAAUAUUGGUCAAUGGUCGGAAGGCUGAACCAGCCAAGCCGCGUGAGGGACGAAGGUGCCAAGUAUCGUAAACUUCUUUUGUCAAGGAACAAAUUCUGGCUCGCGACCCCGACUGAGUGUACCUGAAGAAAAAGCAUCGGCUAACUCCGUGCCAGCAGCCGCGGUAAUACGGAGGAUGCGAGCGUUAUCCGGAUUUAUUGGGUUUAAAGGGUGCGUAGGCGGACUGUUAAGUCAGCGGUAAAAGCCCGGGGCUCAACCCCGGCGAGCCGUUGAAACUGGCUGUCUUGAGAUGGAGAGAGGUAUGCGGAAUGCGCGGUGUAGCGGUGAAAUGCAUAGAUAUUGCGCAGAACUCCGAUUGCGAAGGCAGCAUGCCGGCGCCAAACUGACGCUGAGGCACGAAAGCGUGGGUAUCGAACAGGAUUAGAUACCCGGGUAGUC